AUGGCUUUUGUGCAACGUCGAAAGGGUCUUGAUGUAGUGGGAUCGUUCAGAUUGUUACAACCUCUAGCAGAUGGUUUGAAAUUGAUUCUAAAAGAACCUAUUUCACCAAGUAGUGCUAAUUUCUCCCUUUUUAGAAUGGCUCCAGUGGCUACAUUUAUGUUAAGUCGGGUCGCUUGGGCCGUUGUACCUUUUGAUUAUGGUAUGGUAUUGUCAGAUCCGAACAUAGGGCUACUUUAUUUGUUUGCCAUAUCUUCGGUAGGUUUCUAG
RNAcentral lists this ribosomal RNA (267 nucleotides) under Triticum aestivum (bread wheat). Its description in RNAcentral is "partial small subunit ribosomal RNA". The record is from RNAcentral. Lineage: Eukaryota; Viridiplantae; Streptophyta; Magnoliopsida; Poales; Poaceae.